This 626-nucleotide ribosomal RNA is filed under the name Acinetobacter sp. LSEO6. Its description in RNAcentral is "bacterial SSU rRNA". It matches the Rfam family "Bacterial small subunit ribosomal RNA", at positions 90 to 712 of the family's 1533-position model. The record is from RNAcentral. Lineage: Bacteria; Pseudomonadati; Pseudomonadota; Gammaproteobacteria; Moraxellales; Moraxellaceae.
GGCGAGCGGCGGACGGGUGAGUAAUGUCUGGGAAACUGCCUGAUGGAGGGGGAUAACUACUGGAAACGGUAGCUAAUACCGCAUAACGUCGCAAGACCAAAGAGGGGGACCUUCGGGCCUCUUGCCAUCAGAUGUGCCCAGAUGGGAUUAGCUAGUAGGUGGGGUAACGGCUCACCUAGGCGACGAUCCCUAGCUGGUCUGAGAGGAUGACCAGCCACACUGGAACUGAGACACGGUCCAGACUCCUACGGGAGGCAGCAGUGGGGAAUAUUGCACAAUGGGCGCAAGCCUGAUGCAGCCAUGCCGCGUGUAUGAAGAAGGCCUUCGGGUUGUAAAGUACUUUCAGCGGGGAGGAAGGUGUUGAGGUUAAUAACCUCAGCAAUUGACGUUACCCGCAGAAGAAGCACCGGCUAACUCCGUGCCAGCAGCCGCGGUAAUACGGAGGGUGCAAGCGUUAAUCGGAAUUACUGGGCGUAAAGCGCACGCAGGCGGUCUGUCAAGUCGGAUGUGAAAUCCCCGGGCUCAACCUGGGAACUGCAUUCGAAACUGGCAGGCUAGAGUCUUGUAGAGGGGGGUAGAAUUCCAGGUGUAGCGGUGAAAUGCGUAGAGAUCUGGAGGAAUACCGG